Long non-coding RNA from Seriola aureovittata, 953 nucleotides. RefSeq lists it as uncharacterized. Lineage: Eukaryota; Metazoa; Chordata; Actinopteri; Carangiformes; Carangidae. The record is from RefSeq and is a predicted model, not a curated record. The transcript has 2 exons.
AGAAGAAAAACACAAUGGCAGAGACACACACGAGCGCUUCGCGACAACCAGAAGAGGAAGAACACCCCCGGCCUCACUUAAAAUCGAUGUUCACGUUUCAGACAACCAAAAAAAACAGUAAUGUAAUGCGCCUCUUAUGUGUCUCCCCAAACAAGUGGACAUUUCAGCUUACAUAAACUCAACGUCAAAUUUGAGGAAGCACAUUGCGGCCUUGACUACAUCAAAAAUCACCUGGACACUGACUUGGAGAUGGAUGAUGCUCCCACAAACAGUAGUCACUCUGAUGAAGACGACUUCUUUGCAUCGCUGAGUGCAGGACAAUCAAAAACAGGAGAGCUGGAGAGGUACCUUUCAUGUCCAUCCACUGGAGGUAUGGAUCUCUUGCAUUCCUUUCCUCAAAUCAAGAGCCUGUCAAUGAAAAUCAACACAGGCCUCCCAGCAUCUGCAGCCUGUGAGAGACUUUUUAGUCAUGCAGGACUCCUGUUCACGGCUAAAAGGUCACAGCGUGCAGAGUGAUCCAGAGUGAAUAUGCAAAAUUUCACAUACACACACUCACACAUGCUCACACAUGCACACACACUCACACAUGCACACACACUCACACAUGCUCACAUGCACACACACUCACACGCACGCAUGCAUACAAACACCAAUCAGAAGUGCACAGUGUGUUCCCAGGUGCGGCCCACACCUAUCAGAGUUUAUAGUUUGCGUAAAGGCUAACUUGUUCUUUUCCUUUGUAAUCUCUGCCUACUGAGCCUAUUGUGCUGUUAGUAAGUUAGUAAGUUAUUGUGGCUCAAUUUGCCUUCAUAUAUUUUAAUGUAUUAUUAUUUAAUGUAUUAUUGUUUUAGUUGCUUAAGAGAUAUUGUUGGCUAUCAAUAUGUUCAUUGCUAUUUUUAUGUUUUUGUGCAUUAUUUGUUGCCGUCAUCAUUAAACAAACAGGUUACUUAUCA